Molecule: ribosomal RNA, 371 nt
Filed under: uncultured bacterium
Lineage: Bacteria
Description: bacterial SSU rRNA
Rfam family: Bacterial small subunit ribosomal RNA
Source: RNAcentral
UCUGUUGUUAAAGAAGAACACGUAUGAGAGUAACUGUUCAUACGUUGACGGUAUUUAACCAGAAAGUCACGGCUAACUACGUGCCAGCAGCCGCGGUAAUACGUAGGUGGCAAGCGUUAUCCGGAUUUAUUGGGCGUAAAGAGAGUGCAGGCGGUUUUCUAAGUCUGAUGUGAAAGCCUUCGGCUUAACCGGAGAAGUGCAUCGGAAACUGGAUAACUUGAGUGCAGAAGAGGGUAGUGGAACUCCCAUGUGUAGCGGUGGAAUGCGUAGAUAUAUGGAAGAACACCAGUGGCGAAGGCGGCUACCUGGUCUGCAACUGACGCUGAGACUCGAAAGCAUGGGUAGCGAACAGGAUUAGAUACCCCUGGUAG